AAAGCGUAACGGAGGAGCACGAAGGUUAGCUAAUCCUGGUCGGACAUCAGGAGGUUAGUGCAAUGGCAUAAGCUAGCUUGACUGCGAGCGUGACGGCGCGAGCAGGUGCGAAAGCAGGUCAUAGUGAUCCGGUGGUUCUGAAUGGAAGGGCCAUCGCUCAACGGAUAAAAGGUACUCCGGGGAUAACAGGCUGAUACCGCCCAAGAGUUCAUAUCGACGGCGGUGUUUGGCACCUCGAUGUCGGCUCAUCACAUCCUGGGGCUGAAGUAGGUCCCAAGGGUAUGGCUGUUCGCCAUUUAAAGUGGUACGCGAGCUGGGUUUAGAACGUCGUGAGACAGUUCGGUCCCUAUCUGCCGUGGGCGCUGGAGAAUUGAGGGGGGCUGCUCCUAGUACGAGAGGACCGGAGUGGACGCAUCACUGGUGUUCGGGUUGUCAUGCCAAUGGCACUGCCCGGUAGCUAAAUGCGGAAGAGAUAAGUGCUGAAAGCAUCUAAGCACGAAACUUGCCCCGAGAUGAGUUCUCCCUGAGACUUUAAGUCUCCUGAAGGAACGUUGAAGACGACGACGUUGAUAGGCCGGGUGUGUAAGCGCAGCGAUGCGUUGAGCUAACCGGUACUAAUGAACCGUGAGGCUUAACCUU
This 639-nucleotide ribosomal RNA is filed under the name Klebsiella pneumoniae. RNAcentral describes it as "partial 23S ribosomal RNA". It matches the Rfam family "Bacterial large subunit ribosomal RNA", at positions 2292 to 2925 of the family's 2925-position model. RNAcentral also lists the same sequence under 1 other name. The record is from RNAcentral. Lineage: Bacteria; Pseudomonadati; Pseudomonadota; Gammaproteobacteria; Enterobacterales; Enterobacteriaceae.